CUUCUUCGACUUGUUGAGGACAGAUGUAGUGCACAUGUGCGUCAAUAGCUCCGGCAGUAAUGAUGAGUUUUUCCCCAGCGAUGACUUCGGUGGAGGAACCGAUGAUUAAAGAUGGAUGGACGUUGGCCAUCACGUCGGGGUUCCCGGCUUUUCCGAUACCAACAAUGAGUCCGUCUUUGACGCCGAUGUCGGCCUAGAGGGGAGCGAUGUGAGUGGAGAAAUGAACGAAACAAAAGAUAAAGGAAACCUUGUAGAUCCCGGACCAGUCAACAAUGAGAGCAUUUGUAAUGACCAAAUCAAGAGAUUCGGCGGAGGAUCGGUUGGUGGCUUGACCCAUACCCUCCCGGAU
Molecule: small RNA, 349 nt
Filed under: Lentinula edodes (shiitake mushroom)
Lineage: Eukaryota; Fungi; Basidiomycota; Agaricomycetes; Agaricales; Omphalotaceae
Description: 5' ureB small RNA
Rfam family: 5' ureB small RNA
Source: Rfam by way of RNAcentral